CUAAAGAACACCAUUACUAAACCAAAAACUCUAAAAGAACAUAUUUUCUAAAAAAAACGAUGGAGGCAGCAAGAAAAUAUUCUCUAACAAUGGUAUUUUUGUUGGCAUUUCUUAUCAUUGCAUCAGAUAUGGCUGCAGAAUCACAAGCCAGAGGAGUGAGUGAGGAUAUCCUCCAAGAUUGUGCCAACGAUGGCGAUUGUGUACGUAAACAUUGGCCUUGCCCAUCCGGCACUAUUCCUGUAUGCGUUCAUCGCUCGUGUACAUGUGUACAUUAAUUAAGCUUCCAACAAUUACAUUAUUACUGGUUUAUAAAUUGAGUAAUAAAAUAUUGUAAAAUAAUCGUCAUAUAUGGACGAAAAUUAUGAAUAAAAUGGAUUUUAACAUGCACAAUAUUCAAAUUAA
Molecule: long non-coding RNA, 402 nt
Organism: Vicia villosa (hairy vetch)
Lineage: Eukaryota; Viridiplantae; Streptophyta; Magnoliopsida; Fabales; Fabaceae
Exons: 2
Source: RefSeq, a predicted model, not a curated record